Long non-coding RNA from Choloepus didactylus (southern two-toed sloth), 394 nucleotides. RefSeq lists it as uncharacterized. NCBI's taxonomy places the organism in Eukaryota, Metazoa, Chordata, Mammalia, Pilosa, Megalonychidae. The record is from RefSeq and is a predicted model, not a curated record. The transcript has 3 exons.
UAUGGAGAACUCUGUCUACGUUGUGGCUGCUUACAGCUCAAAUGUGGAGAUCACCAGCUGAUUAAAAUGUCUGCAUCCUCCAUAGGACCAGUGUACAGGAACUGUUUGUUGAAUGAAUGGAUCAGUCAGUCAACAAAUUCCUGACUGCCUCAAGGGGAGAUACAGUCAUUUACUUCUUUACCAAGCAUUUUAAUAGCACUUACUAUGUGCCAUAUACUGUCUUAAGUACUUACAAAUAUUAACUCAUUUAAUCCUCAUAACAACCCUAUGAGGCCCAGUCCACUCACUGAGGCAGCAGGAGCGAAAUUCCCGACAAACUCUAGGUUCUACACAGAACUCCUCUCCCCAGUACUCACUUCCAAACAGUCUCCAAAACCAUCAGCUGGAGUUGGGA